CAGCCGCCGCGGGAAUACGGAGGAUGCGAGCGUUAUUCGGAAUCAUUGGGUUUAAAGGGUCUGUAGGCGGGCUAUUAAGUCAGGGGUGAAAGGUUUCAGCUUAACUGAGAAAUUGCCUUUGAUACUGGUAGUCUUGAAUAUCUGUGAAGUUCUUGGAAUGUGUAGUGUAGCGGUGAAAUGCUUAGAUAUUACACAGAACACCGAUUGCGAAGGCAGGGGACUAACAGACAAUUGACGCUGAGAGACGAAAGCGUGGGGAGCGAACAGGAUUAGAUACCCCCGUAGUCCCUGUCUCUUAUAC
Molecule: ribosomal RNA, 301 nt
Filed under: uncultured bacterium
Lineage: Bacteria
Description: partial 16S ribosomal RNA
Rfam family: Bacterial small subunit ribosomal RNA
Source: RNAcentral